RNAcentral lists this ribosomal RNA (478 nucleotides) under uncultured bacterium. RNAcentral describes it as "partial 16S ribosomal RNA". It matches the Rfam family "Bacterial small subunit ribosomal RNA", at positions 36 to 507 of the family's 1533-position model. The record is from RNAcentral.
UCUUCCCUCUGGCUUCGUGCUUAACACAUGCAAGUCGAACGAGAAGUGAAGACGGAAACCUUCGGGCGGAAGGCUUUAUUUCGAGUGGCGGACGGGUGAGUAACGCGUGGGUAACCUGCCUCAUACAGGGGGAUAACAGUUGGAAACGACUGUUAAUACCGCAUAAGACCACAGCACCGCAUGGUGCGGGGGUAAAAACUCCGGUGGUAUGAGAUGGACCCGCGUUCGAUUAGCCAGUUGGCGGGGUAACGGCCCACCAAAGCGACGAUCGAUAGCCGAUCUGAGAGGAUGACCGGCCACAUUGGGACUGAGACACGGCCCAAACUCCUACGGGAGGCAGCAGUGGGGAAUAUUGCACAAUGGGGGAAACCCUGAUGCAGCGACGCCGCGUGAGUGAAGAAGUAUUUCGGUAUGUAAAGCUCUAUCAGCAGGGAAGAAAAUGACGGUACCUGAGUAAGAAGCCCCGGCUAACUACGUG